Molecule: ribosomal RNA, 253 nt
Filed under: uncultured bacterium
Lineage: Bacteria
Description: partial 16S ribosomal RNA
Rfam family: Bacterial small subunit ribosomal RNA
Source: RNAcentral
UACAGAGACUGCAAGCGUUACUCGGAUUCACUGGGCGUAAAGGGAGCGCAGGUGGGCAGGUGUGUCGGGCGUGAAAUCCCGGGGCUUAACCCCGGAACGGCGCUCGAAACUAUCUGUCUUGAGGAUUGGAGAGGCGGGUGGAAUUCCAGGUGUAGCGGUGAAAUGCGUAGAUAUCUGGAGGAACACCGACGGCGAAGGCAGCCCGCUGGACAAAUCCUGACACUCAGGCUCGAAAGUAUGGGGAGCAAAAGGG